GAUGAACGCUGGCGGUAUGCCUAACACAUGCAAGUCGAGCGAGAAAGUUCCUUCGGGAAUGAGUACAGCGGCGGACGGGUGAGUAACACGUGGGCAACCUGCCUGUAAGACUGGGAUAACUUCGGGAAACCGAAGCUAAUACCGGAUAGGAUCUUCUCCUUCAUGGGAGAUGAUUGAAAGAUGGUUUCGGCUAUCACUUACAGAUGGGCCCGCGGUGCAUUAGCUAGUUGGUGAGGUAACGGCUCACCAAGGCAACGAUGCAUAGCCGACCUGAGAGGGUGAUCGGCCACACUGGGACUGAGACACGGCCCAGACUCCGACGGGAGGCAGCAGUAGGGAAUCUUCCGCAAUGGACGAAAGUCUGACGGAGCAACGCCGCGUGAGUGAUGAAGGCUUUCGGGUCGUAAAACUCUGUUGUUAGGGAAGAACAAGUACAAGAGUAACUGCUUGUACCUUGACGGUACCUAACCAGAAAGCCACGGCUAACUACGUGCCAGCCGCCGCAGUAA
RNAcentral lists this ribosomal RNA (509 nucleotides) under uncultured bacterium. RNAcentral describes it as "partial 16S ribosomal RNA". It matches the Rfam family "Bacterial small subunit ribosomal RNA", at positions 28 to 523 of the family's 1533-position model. The record is from RNAcentral.